CUCGUAGGCGGUUCGUCGCGUCCGGUGUGAAAGUCCAUCGCUUAACGGUGGAUCCGCGCCGGGUACGGGCGGGCUUGAGUGCGGUAGGGGAGACUGGAAUUCCCGGUGUAACGGUGGAAUGUGUAGAUAUCGGGAAGAACACCAAUGGCGAAGGCAGGUCUCUAGGCCGUUACUGACGCUGAGGAGCGAAAGCGUGGGGAGCGAACA
Molecule: ribosomal RNA, 207 nt
Filed under: uncultured bacterium
Lineage: Bacteria
Description: partial 16S ribosomal RNA
Rfam family: Bacterial small subunit ribosomal RNA
Source: RNAcentral